UACAGAGGGUGCAAGCGUUAUUCGGAAUCACUGGGCGUAAAGAGUUCGUAGGCGGUUUGUUUAGUCGAAUGUGAAAGCCCUGGGCUCAAUCCAGGAAGUGCAUUCGAUACUGGCAAGCUAGAGUGCAGGAGAGGAGAGCGGAAUUCCAGGUGUAGAGGUGAAAUUCGUAGAUAUCUGGAGGAACAACAGAGGCGAAGGCGGCUCUCUGGACUGUCACUGACGCUGAGGAACGAAAGCGUGGGGAGCGAACAGG
RNAcentral lists this ribosomal RNA (253 nucleotides) under uncultured bacterium. Its description in RNAcentral is "partial 16S ribosomal RNA". It matches the Rfam family "Bacterial small subunit ribosomal RNA", at positions 524 to 776 of the family's 1533-position model. The record is from RNAcentral.